Molecule: ribosomal RNA, 497 nt
Filed under: uncultured bacterium
Lineage: Bacteria
Description: partial 16S ribosomal RNA
Rfam family: Bacterial small subunit ribosomal RNA
Source: RNAcentral
GAUGAACGCUGGCGGCGUGCCUAAUACAUGCAAGUCGAGCGAACAGACGAGGAGCUUGCUCCUCUGACGUUAGCGGCGGACGGGUGAGUAACACGUGGAUAACCUACCUAUAAGACUGGGAUAACUUCGGGAAACCGGAUCUAAUACCGGAUAAUAUAUUGAACCGCAUGGUUCAAUAGUGAAAUACGGUUUUGCUGUCACUUAUAGAUGUAUCCGCGCCGCAUUAGCUAGUUGGUAAGGUAACGGCUUACCAAGGCAACGAUGCGUAGACGCGCUGAGAGGGUGAUCGGCCACACUGGAACUGAGACAAGGUCCAGACUCCUAGGGGAGGCAGCAGUAGGGAAUCUUCAGCAAUGGGCGAAAGCCUUACGGAGCAACGCCGCGUGAGUGAUGAAGGUCUUCGGAUUGUAAAACUCUGUUAUUAGGGAAGAACAAAUGUGUAAGUAACUAUGCACGUCUUGACGGUACCUAAUCAGAAAGCCACGGCUAACUACGUG